This 491-nucleotide ribosomal RNA is filed under the name uncultured bacterium. Its description in RNAcentral is "partial 16S ribosomal RNA". It matches the Rfam family "Bacterial small subunit ribosomal RNA", at positions 28 to 506 of the family's 1533-position model. The record is from RNAcentral.
GAUGAACGCUAGCUACAGGCUUAACACAUGCAAGUCGAGGGGAAACGGCAUCGAAAGCUUGCUUUUGAUGGGCGUCGACCGGCGCACGGGUGAGUAACGCGUAUCCAACCUGCCCAUCACUUGGGAAUAACCUUGCGAAAGUAAGACUAAUGCCCAAUGACAUCCCACGAAGGCAUCCGAAUGGGAUUAAAGAUUUAUCGGUGAUGGAUGGGGAUGCGUCUGAUUAGCUUGUUGGCGGGGUGACGGCCCACCAAGGCAACGAUCAGUAGGGGUUCUGAGAGGAAGGUCCCCCACAUUGGAACUGAGACACGGUCCAAACUCCUACGGGAGGCAGCAGUGAGGAAUAUUAGUCAAUGGGCGAGAGCCUGAACCAGCCAAGUAGCGUGCAGGAUGACGGCCCUAUGGGGUGUAAACUGCUUUUAUAAGGGAAUAAAGUGGGUCACGUGUGACUUUUUGCAUGUACCUUAUGAAUAAGGACCGGCUAAUUCCGU